GCUUCUUAUAGCUCCAACUGAUUGGAAUCUGACCAAAAUAUAACAAAUAUCCAGAAGUAGAAGUCCUAUCUCAUGGAUCGCCCGCCCAAUCGGCAUCAGAAUAGGCAUGAAAAACAGGAUGACUUUGAGGUGUGAUAUGGAUACCGAAAUUGAUUGUGGACUUGAGGUAUCGCAACAAUCUCUUGCGAGCUUGCCAGUGAGAAUUGCUCGGACAAUGCAUAAAUUGAGACAGUUUGUUGACGGAGAAGGCCACGUCAGGUUUAGUUAGAUUUAG
RNAcentral lists this unclassified non-coding RNA (274 nucleotides) under Hevea brasiliensis (rubber tree). The record is from RNAcentral. Lineage: Eukaryota; Viridiplantae; Streptophyta; Magnoliopsida; Malpighiales; Euphorbiaceae.